RNAcentral lists this small RNA (114 nucleotides) under Marmota monax (woodchuck). Lineage: Eukaryota; Metazoa; Chordata; Mammalia; Rodentia; Sciuridae. The record is from RNAcentral.
GCCAGGCGCGGUGGCACGCACCUAUAGUCCCAGCUACUCAGGAGACUGAGGCAGGAGGAUCACUUGAGCCCAGGAGUUGGAGGCCAGCCUGGGCAACAUAGACUCCAUCCUCCC